UGUGCUAAUACCGCAUAAUCUCUCAGGAGAAAAGCAGGGGAUCGCAAGACCUUGCGCUUUAGGAGCGGCCGAUGCCUGAUUAGCUUGUUGGUAAGGUAAAAGCUUACCAAGGCUUCGAUCAGUAGCUGGUCUGAGAGGACGACCAGCCACACUGGGACUGAGACACGGCCCAGACUCCUACGGGAGGCAGCAGUGGGGAAUUUUGGACAAUGGGGGAAACCCUGAUCCAGCCAUGCCGCGUGAGUGAAGAAGGCCUUCGGGUUGUAAAGCUCUUUCAGCCGGAACGAAACGGU
RNAcentral lists this ribosomal RNA (293 nucleotides) under uncultured Pseudomonadota bacterium. Its description in RNAcentral is "uncultured proteobacterium partial 16S ribosomal RNA". It matches the Rfam family "Bacterial small subunit ribosomal RNA", at positions 159 to 454 of the family's 1533-position model. Lineage: Bacteria; Pseudomonadati; Pseudomonadota. The record is from RNAcentral.